UGAGGAAUAUUGGUCAAUGGACGAGAGUCUGAACCAGCCAAGUAGCGUGAAGGAUGAAGGUCCUACGGAUUGUAAACUUCUUUUAUAAGGGAAUAAAACCUCCCACGUGUGGGAGCUUGUAUGUACCUUAUGAAUAAGCAUCGGCUAACUCCGUGCCAGCAGCCGCGGUAAUACGGAGGAUGCAAGCGUUAUCCGGAUUUAUUGGGUUUAAAGGGAGCGCAGACGGGUCGUUAAGUCAGCUGUGAAAGUUUGGGGCUCAACCUUAAAAUUGCAGUUGAUACUGGCGUCCUUGAGUGCGGUUGAGGUGUGCGGAAUUCGUGGUGUAGCGGUGAAAUGCUUAGAUAUCACGAAGAACUCCGAUUGCGAAGGCAGCACACUAAGCCGUAACUGACGUUCAUGC
This 400-nucleotide ribosomal RNA is filed under the name uncultured bacterium. Its description in RNAcentral is "bacterial SSU rRNA". It matches the Rfam family "Bacterial small subunit ribosomal RNA", at positions 355 to 752 of the family's 1533-position model. The record is from RNAcentral.